Molecule: ribosomal RNA, 445 nt
Filed under: uncultured Rhodoferax sp.
Lineage: Bacteria; Pseudomonadati; Pseudomonadota; Betaproteobacteria; Burkholderiales; Comamonadaceae
Description: bacterial SSU rRNA
Rfam family: Bacterial small subunit ribosomal RNA
Source: RNAcentral
UGGAUGAUGUGGAUAUUCGAUGCAACGCGAAAACCUUACCACCUUUGACAUGGCAGGAAUCCCGAAGAGAUUUGGGAGUGACUCGAAAGAGAACCUGCACACAGGUGCUGCAUGGCUGCCGUCAGCUCGUGUCGUGAGAUGUUGGGUUAAGUCCCGCAACGAGCGCAACCCUUGUCAUUAGUUGCUACAUUCAGUUGGGCACUCUAAUGAGACUGCCGGUGACAAGCCGGAGGAAGUGGGGAUGACGUCAAGUCCUCAUGGCCCUUAUAGGUGGGGCUACACACGUCAUACAAUGGCUGGUACAAAGGGUUGCCAACCCGCGAGGGGGAGCCAAUCCCAUAAAGCCAGUCGUAGUCCGGAUCGUAGUCUGCAACUCGACUACGUGAAGUCGGAAUCGCUAGUAAUCGUGGAUCAGAAUGUCACGGUGAAUACGUUCCCGGGUCUU